GCUUUGACUAUGAAUGUUGCUGGCGUGGUUAAGGAUUGGUUGUUAAUUGCCUUUUCCUGGUCCGUGAUUAAGGAUACUGUCACUCCUGUCAAUUUGGUUGGAUAUGGAUUGGCUUUCUUAGGUGUGGCGUAUUACAACCACGCCAAAUUGCAGGCUCUUAAGGCGAAUGAAGCACAGAAGAAGGCUUCACAGGCUGCUGAUGAGGAGGCUGGAAGAUUGUUGGAGGAAAGAGAAGGGGAGAAUGGUGCUAAGAAGAAUGAGUCUCAGGGUUGAGUUGUUUCUUCGUUUACUUCGUAUUAUCCAUAGGUAGAAUGACAUUGAGAGAUGAAACCUGAAGAUCAGAUUAUAACGUCCUUGUGCGGAUGAUUUAGCUUCUGUUUUUUUAGGUAUAAAUCAUUUACAUUAUCUGUUUUGAGGAUCUUAUAAUAGUUUUAUUGCUCGUAUUACCUUACCAGAUCGUGCAUGUACUUGAGCAUGACUCGAGGCAAUUUAUGUUUAUUUUGACAGAACAGUAAUACUAGA
This 522-nucleotide unclassified non-coding RNA is filed under the name Hevea brasiliensis (rubber tree). The record is from RNAcentral. Lineage: Eukaryota; Viridiplantae; Streptophyta; Magnoliopsida; Malpighiales; Euphorbiaceae.